Mastomys coucha (southern multimammate mouse) is the source of this 1143-nucleotide long non-coding RNA. RefSeq lists it as uncharacterized. The transcript has 3 exons. The record is from RefSeq and is a predicted model, not a curated record. Lineage: Eukaryota; Metazoa; Chordata; Mammalia; Rodentia; Muridae.
GCUUCCUCUGGGUGUUGUGGGACUGGCUGCAGAAUUUGUGCCCAAGGUCUGCUCAGGGCAUGGGCCCAAACAGACCAGAAGCAACCUGUGCCCUGCAAUGUAUUUCUUAACAUUGGAAACACAGGGAACGAGGAGCCUGAGAGCCCUGAAGCUACAAGGGUUGGUGUGCUUCAGCUGAGAGAAAUGAAGACCUGAGGACCACUUACUCACACCCAUGAACAACUGAGAAGAGCUCACUGACUGAACAAACCAGGAGAAGAAUGAAGAGCCUGAGUCUCGAGUCUGUCCUCUGUGGCUUUUAAUGAGACAGCAUUUCUCUGCACAGCCCUGGCUGUCCUGGAAUUUACACUGUAGACCAGAGGCUGACCUCGAAUUCACAGAGGUCCAACUGCCUCUGUCUCCCAAGUGCUGGGAUUAAAGGCCUGGACUACAACUGCCCAGCUUCUGACACACUUUUAACUAACCAGCAAUGAGCAACUGGAGGAUUGUUUGCUAAAAGGUUAGCAUUUGGAUCUUCCCAUCAGCCUCUCUUGUCAAUCUGCUUCCUUUUCAAGCUCCCUCAAUCCCUACCUAGCCUAGUUGGGAGCUCUGUCCAUCAGGCUUUCUGAUUCUCAAUGUUUGGAGUGUGUUCAAACCUCAGAGUCCAUAGCAACCUUCUCUACAGGAGACACCAGCACCUGUACCUCCCAGGCAAAGUACAGCGUUUGGCCCUGUCCACAGCUCAUUUCCUUACCCUGCAGUUGGUCAGAGUCAGCCGCAGUCUGAAAGCACUGCAUGCAAAUUACAGAAAUAAGCACUUCAUAAGCUCUCAGCGGGAGACUCCAGGUCGUGGUGAGGUCGCACACUGCUCCACUCUGUCCCACCCAGGGUGUAAACUGUACUUUCUCCUCUGUGAGUGCUCUGUACUCUGCCCACUGGUCCCUUGGGAGCCUUGAAGAUCAGAACCCGGGAAAAAUAACAUGAGCAAGAGAACCUCAUUUUUUAAAGGAUGAACAGGUUUUUAUAAGAGGUGGAAGUGACUGCCUCCAAAAGUGGAUAGUCUAUAAAUUAUAAUCCUCAUUUUACUGAAGAGUGGUCCCAAAGCACAAGGCCAAUGGCACUGAUGACUUUACAGGAAGCAAUAUAUUACUCUAAUUAUUUAUU